Molecule: ribosomal RNA, 31 nt
Filed under: Brinjal little leaf phytoplasma
Lineage: Bacteria; Bacillati; Mycoplasmatota; Mollicutes; Acholeplasmatales; Acholeplasmataceae
Description: partial 23S ribosomal RNA
Source: RNAcentral
UGCCUUGGCACUAAGAGCCGAUGAAGGACGA